Biomphalaria glabrata is the source of this 1638-nucleotide long non-coding RNA. RefSeq lists it as uncharacterized. NCBI's taxonomy places the organism in Eukaryota, Metazoa, Mollusca, Gastropoda, Planorbidae. The record is from RefSeq and is a predicted model, not a curated record. The transcript has 2 exons.
AAUUUAAGUCAUAGGAUAACAUGCAUGACUAGAUUGACACGCGUAAGAUGUAAUCAUCAUCUUUUUUUUUUGAAGUGACGUCAGUAAUUUAUAAGAUGAGAAUCAAUGCCAUCGUCAGAAUCUUUUGCUCUCUUUGUAAUGCAAAUAAUUGUCGAAUUCAUGUCUUGUGUCAAUAAUGUACUAUAAUAGAACAAUAAGCAUUUCACAAUGAAGGAAUCACGGCUUUUUUUUUAUUAAAAAAAAAAUAGGUGCCGGUACUCAGUGAUUGAUUGCCUAACUUUUAACUACUAAUAAAUUAAUAAUAUAGAUCUACGUUAAAAUACAAGAAAAGUAAUAAUUUUUCCCCCACAUUCCAAAAAGGUGCCGGUACUCCGUAGCGAUGCCUUCCGUCACAAAAAAAGCCCUGCGUAUAUAGAUCUAUAUUGUUAUGUCUCUCCUACUGUUCAGGCUCUCUUCUAACUGCACCUUACGACACAACGAACUUAAAGAACCUCACAACUCAGUGCUCCAAAGUAUCAGAUCAGUCAGUUUAAUGACAAAUACAUCGCAAUUGGCAACAACAUUAACACUGUCUUUACAAAAACCUAGUCUUGUUACGCCUGACUUCACACACCGUGCUGGUUCUCGCCUCGUACUGGUCACAUUGCGAGGUAACGUGAAGUCAAGUCUUUCUAACACACUCGCUCUUAUAUAGUGUCUCUACUGGCCUACUCGAACCUUCUUGACCACUCCAGUUGAUCACUUUCGCCGUGACUUGCGUGCGUAAUAUUUACACACAGGUCGUUGCCGAACUGGCGAGUACUGUCACUGGUCACAGUUGACCGCUCUUCCUGCGCUGGACAGUGGCGAUUUGGCCCUGUUUUGAAUACAACUAGAUCAACAACUUCUGAAACUCCAAUAAUACUACCUGCAAGUGCUGCUGAAAGAAAAAUAACCAUAACAGCCUUUAAAUUUACUACAUAUAUUCUAAUGCUGACAACAUCAUUUAGAUCUAGAUGCUGCCUGAAGAUUUCAUGUCUGUGGCAUUUUACGUCUCGAGAAAAGAUAUUUUCCCUUUGCAACUUCUUGUGUGGCUAAAGAGGCCAAUUGAUACACAGCUGUGGUCACAUGUAAUCACCAGCCACCAUUGCAUUGUCACCUUUCUUCCUGCUGCUGUUGUGUAUGGCAUCUGCAAUCGGAGACCCUUCCUUUAUGCUCUCUCUCCAUGUGGAUCUAUCCAGUGCCACCUUUUUCCCAGCCGCUAGUGUCGAUUUUGAAGAUGCACACUAUGAUAAACUCAAUGCAGUUGACUACAAUAAUCUCCAUGACCACAUUGUUUCAACAAGAACCUGUGUGCAUCACACAUUGUAAGGGUCGAAAUUGAAAAAAAAAUAUUUGUAAGCUAUGUGCCAAAAAUGCUCCUAAUAUUCAAUGAUGAGCUCUGACCAGGAUAACAAUCACACAUUGUGUCCGGAUGGCACUACAUCUGGGUAUCACUUCAAAAUAUCAUAGCACGAGAGCAGCCAUAACAAAAAGUACAACCAGACCAUUACUAUUAUUAUGGAUACAGUGAUGGUCAAUACUGUUGUUGUGUUUUCAAUAAUAGUUUAAUUGCUUUUUAGUUAGUUACAAUGCUAUUAAUAUUAAAAGGUAUUUUUU